GUGCUCGCUUCAGCAGCACAUAUACUAAAAUUAGAAUGAUACAGAGAUUAGCACGGCCCCUGCGCAAGGAUGACAUGCAAAUUCAUGAAGUGUUCCAUAUUCUU
This is a small nuclear RNA of Ailuropoda melanoleuca (giant panda), 104 nucleotides long. Lineage: Eukaryota; Metazoa; Chordata; Mammalia; Carnivora; Ursidae. The record is from Ensembl.